CAAAAAUUUAAAAUUCAUUUUUGUGAAGUAUUUCGGCAUAAUUAGGUACACAAAUUAAUAAAUAUGUAUUAGAAUUAAUUUAUUCGAGUGUAAGCGUUCUUAGAGUUUUACAAAACAACGCACGGACAUUGAUUUAUUGAUUUCGAUGUACUGUUUUGAUUACGGUCUACGAAUAUUGAUGAGAAAAAAAAAACACUACACGUUCUGCACGUUACAAGCCAAUGACAAAUGGCAUACAUAAUUUUCGGCGUCGUUAAAUUGUCGAUAUUUAAAUAUCUAACGAGCUAACGUGACGGCUCUCCAGUCACUCGCGUUUAAAAACACAUUUUUUAUUGCAAUAAAAAAUUUCAAACAAAAAAAAAUUCCGAAAUCGGUUACACAAUUGCAUAAUAAUAAGACGAUGCCUUUUUUUUUUUUCUUCAUAAGGAGAUCAUCAUCAUUCUUAGACGUGCGCUGCAGUUAUACACCUAGACUUAUAUAUCACGUACUCGUAAACGAUAUUCUGGGAAAAAUAGGCGAUUACUAUAGUGAUAUGUACUCGUACCCAACUAUUCAGCUGUAAAUAUGAGAAUCAAAACGUAAAACAAAAAAAAAACCCCAAACAAAAGAAAAAAACCGGUAAAACCAUCAACGUCCUUAUUUUAAAAUCUAAAGAGUGUUGUACCCGUUAUACAAUAUUAUUUUUGCGUUUUUUGUCAAACCCCCGGGGUGUGCGGUAUUGUUCUAUAAUAAAACAAGGAAAAAACGUUCAGAACCGAACGCACUCGUUAAAUGAGUUUACGAAAAACUGUAUGGCGUAUGGAGAAAAAAAAAGGGCGACAUUUUCAUAAUUGGCAAUGAGCCAUUGAUAUGUGCGGUGGCGACCACAAUCCGCAAUGACGUGUUCCCCUCUCGACUCCCCGAAAAACUCUGUUAACCCCGAGGUCCUCCGUAGGUUUUUUUCAGAGGGUCGACACGUAGACGUUUGCGGAUUAUUUUUUUAUCAACGUAAACCUAAUACACUACAGUGAAGACAGUAUUGCAAAGCCGGACAUACUUUUGGCACACCACAAUGAGUUGAGGCCACUGUUGUAGGUAGGUAAUUCGGAAGAUAGGAUACAAACGGUAAUUCAGUUUGUGUAUUGAAUAUGCAACGGACAUAUCGUGGCAAAACAAACACCUGGUCUGAAUGAAGUACCAGCAAAAGAGCAAUUUUCACGCAGCUUCAAAUAAAAAAAAGAACUGAUACGGCGUCGGGUGCGGCGACUGGUGCAGGUGGACAGUGGAGAAGGUGUGAUUUAUUAUUAAGUUAUUUAAUUUAUGCCUGCAACCGACGAUAAACCAUUGAUAACGAAAAACGAUUCGGAGCGAAGUUCGGUUGUACAUGUUUUGAAAGAUCGUAAUAUUUACGAUUUUCGUCAAAAUUUGAUUUUAAAACUCGUAUAAAAACAAAAAAAAAAAAUACUUCAUUAAACUAAAUUUUUUUUUUUUUUUUGGUCCCUUGGUACGACUUAUAAUGAACAAUUUUUGCAAUUUUAAACUCUGUGUG
This is a non-coding RNA of Cinara cedri, 1528 nucleotides long. The record is from the annotation of a GenBank genome assembly. Lineage: Eukaryota; Metazoa; Arthropoda; Insecta; Hemiptera; Aphididae.